RNAcentral lists this ribosomal RNA (470 nucleotides) under uncultured bacterium. RNAcentral's name for it is "SSU rRNA". It matches the Rfam family "Bacterial small subunit ribosomal RNA", at positions 26 to 518 of the family's 1533-position model. The record is from RNAcentral.
AGGACGAACGCUGGCGGCGUGCCUAACACAUGCAAGUCGAACGGAGCCCGCAAGGGUUCAGUGGCGAACGGGUGCGUAACACGUGAGGAACUUGUCCAUCGGCGGGGGAUAGCCGGCCCAACGGCCGGGUAAUACCGCGUACGCCGUCCGGAGCGCAUGCUCUGGCCGGGAAAGCAGCAAUGCACCGAUGGAGAGCCUCGCGGCCUAUCAGCUAGUUGGUGGGGUAAUGGCCUACCAAGGCGACGACGGGUAGCUGGUCUGAGAGGAUGACCAGCCACAUUGGGACUGAGACACGGCCCAGACUCCUACGGGAGGCAGCAGUGGGGGAAUAUUGCGCAAUGGGCGAAAGCCUGACGCAGCGACGCCGCGUGUGGGAUGACGGCCUUCGGGUUGUAAACCACUGUCGCGAGGGACGAAGAUCUGACGGUACCUCGAAAGGAAGCACCGGCUAACUCUGUGCCAGCAGCCGC